RNAcentral lists this ribosomal RNA (489 nucleotides) under uncultured bacterium. Its description in RNAcentral is "bacterial SSU rRNA". It matches the Rfam family "Bacterial small subunit ribosomal RNA", at positions 43 to 524 of the family's 1533-position model. The record is from RNAcentral.
CAGGCCUAACACAUGCAAGUCGAACGAUGAUCAGGAGCUUGCUCCUGUGAUUAGUGGCGAACGGGUGAGUAACACGUGAGUAACCUGCCCCUGACUCUGGGAUAAGCGUUGGAAACGACGUCUAAUACUGGAUACGACUGCCGGCCGCAUGGUCUGGUGGUGGAAAGAUUUUUUGGUUGGGGAUGGACUCGCGGCCUAUCAGCUUGUUGGUGAGGUAAUGGCUCACCAAGGCGACGACGGGUAGCCGGCCUGAGAGGGUGACCGGCCACACUGGGACUGAGACACGGCCCAGACUCCUACGGGAGGCAGCAGUGGGGAAUAUUGCACAAUGGGCGCAAGCCUGAUGCAGCCAUGCCGCGUGUAUGAAGAAGGCCUUCGGGUUGUAAAGUACUUUCAGCGGGGAGGAAGGCGAUAAGGUUAAUAACCUUGUCGAUUGACGUUACCCGCAGAAGAGGCACCGACUAACUCCGUGCCAGCAGCCGCGGUAAU